This is a long non-coding RNA of Triticum aestivum (bread wheat), 4262 nucleotides long. RefSeq lists it as uncharacterized. The transcript is spliced from 3 exons. The record is from RefSeq and is a predicted model, not a curated record. NCBI's taxonomy places the organism in Eukaryota, Viridiplantae, Streptophyta, Magnoliopsida, Poales, Poaceae.
UUUGUCAUUUCACGUGUCCGGCCCCGGUUGGCUGGAGAGUGGAUGGGGGUGAGGGUGCCUGUCUCCCUUCCUCCCGAUCCUCACUCCGCCAAUCCCCUCUCUUCCUCCUGUCGCCCCCAUGGCGCCGCCGCCCCUGCCUCCUCACCUCCCGUGGCCCGCCCUCCCCGUCGCGUCUCUUCUCUCCAUCGCCAGUCGCGGAAGCCGCUGCGCUCCUCUUCCUCCCUAGCUGCACCACGCGGGAGGGCAAGAAGUUGACCCGAGGUCACCCGCCUCCAAUCCGACGUGCGAGGCACCCAGAGGCUCCCUCCAGUCAAAUCCGUCCGCCUCCCACGCCGGCAUCAUCCAGCACGAGUUUACCUCGUCGUCGUUCUCCUCCAAGCGUCCCGUGCGAGACGAGCCGGCCAGAUCCACCGCAUCCAUCCCUGCUCGUCGGCAACAGGUGGGGAUCCGCCUCGUCCAGCCCAACACGGGGAGGGCCGGGACGGGAGCGGCGACGGCGAGGUGUCUCUCGCUCUCACCCGUUCUUCUGCUUGCGCAUCUUAUCCCCGUCCUCACGCUGCCGCCUCUGUCCCUGUCGCCCAUUCUCUAGAGGCGGCGGCUGGCGCUGGCGUCCACGACCUCACCAAAGCAAGGAAGGAAGGAGGAGCAGGCUCCAGCGCCGGGUGCCUAAGAUCGGCACACCUCCUCCCGAUCGACCCAGACCAGCGCCAUGGCAACAAGCUUGCCCCCCUACCCCGACCUUGAACUUGAGCGGCCAAUACCACCAUGACUUGGCGGCAUAGCUGGUGGAACCGGCGUCCAUAAGCGAGCCAUCGUCCAGAUGGCUGCCGCGCUUCCGCUCAGCAGGUACUACUCCCUUUAUCUCAUCUUCUCAUCAGCUAAAUGAACACAUGUGUUUCGUCCGCCUUUUGUUCUCUUGGAUCCAAGAACCAUUCCUUCGUCCCAAAUCCAGAACGAUAUUCCUUUUUUAUCUGGUUUGGGAUUUUAAUUAGGAAGAUUUUUUCUAGGUAGAGGAGUAGAGCCAUUGUUUCCAAGGUUAGUAGUGAGGUGUUGCAGAUUAGAGCACCAUCGGCAGUUUUUUAGCACCAUGGCAAGGCAGAGGUGCUCCGUGUGCCCGGCAUCUUCAAAAGAAUCAUCUCAUGCAGUAUUCCAGAAAUGUAGCAUUAUGUAAAAGUCUGGUUAUGAAAAUCAUAUGAGCAGAGAUACCACACUAAUCAACUUUCUGCAUUAGAUUACUUAGUUGUGAGCUAGAACCUGAAGAAAAGUGAAGCAAGCUAGAUACAUAAAAAUUAGGCACUCCCUGCAACUCCAAUACCAAAUAGGCAGACAGACAUCUUGGCAUUCGACAGUAGGAGACGAUGAGCUUGAGAAGUGAGAUGGUUCUGUUGAAGUAACGGUGCGUUUGGGCGGUCUGGCCGUUGACCAUUGCGUCCAUAUGUGGGGUUGGCUGGUCCUGCACCUCUUCCGGCGGUAGCGAUUGGGCGACAGCUGAAGAUCCUUCUCAAAUUUGAACUCCAUUUUUUUACGAUUCCCUAUUUUUUGCACACUGAUGAUCACAUUUUUGAACUGUAUAAUUGAUUCCCUAUUUUUUGCACACUGAUGAUCACAUUUUUGGACAGCAUAAUUAAUCUUGGUAUGGUUUAUAGCUUCCUGCUACAACUCUUACCAUUGUCCAAUCAAGUUCAUCCAUGUCAAACACUAUCGACUUGAAACAGAGUAGUGUCAAAGAGAAGGUUUGAUUGUACUAUUUAAUCGCUCAUCAAUUUCAUUUUCUACUUUCUUUAGUUGGAAAACUUCAACCUAAAAAAUAAACUGGUGGUCUAUACGAAAUAACACAUCAGUUUUCUACUGAUUUAUGCCUCACUUUUUAUUUGUCUCAACAGAUUAGAGUAAUAAAUUGAUGGUCAUUCUCUACUUUGUAUUUGUAUUUUUUUAUGAGAUUGAUCCAAGAAAGAAUGACAUGUAUGCAAUACUCACUAAAUUGUAGGGUUGUAUAGCAAGGCUUAUAGUCUCGAAUUAUUACUGUAGAUUGUCUUAUUUUAUAAAGUAUUUUGUUUAGUGAAUAUAUAUUCCAAAAUUUCUCACGUACUGUGUCUGUAGAGGAGAAAGGACCUGAUUGCAGGACACUAAAAUAUUAUUGGCUGUCAAAGCUCCGCGGUCGCUUACACAUGUAUAUUAUCCAUGUAGUCUCGGUUAUCUAGGAUCAAUUACAACAAGGCAGUUGGAUAUUUUUUAUAAUGGUGACACAUUUUCUUAAUUUAAUAUACUUCCAUAUCACUAUGUUGAUUUAUUCAUGCUAUUUUGACGAGGAUGGCAUCGAUGCCAGUUCAUGGCUAUGCAAGGCAUCAGUGCUUGAUGAUUCGUCAGAGUGAUGCGUUACUCGUUGGGGACUUAAUUUGCAGCGGAAGCAGAUGCUGUAAACUCUGAAAACUAGAUUAAUUUUGCUCAUAUGACACAAACACAAUGGCAUUUUUUCUGAGGGAGUUGAUCAUGCUUGCCUUUCCCUGAGCUCCAGCUAUUCACGCUACCGCAUAUAAUAUCCAUCGUAGCUAUAUAGAUGUCGCCAUCAUAAUCUGGACUACUGCCUUAAUUUCAAAAGGGUACAAUAUUAUUUUCAGUUUGUAUACCUUUAUGUAGUGUUGUAGCUUGGUUUGUUUGAAAUUUUAGUGUUCAUGUUAACAAUCACUAAAAAUGAUACAAUUGUGGAUGUAGGUUUCUGAAACAAUCACUAAAAAAGAUAAAUAUGCAAGUGAUGAUAGAUUGUUGUUACCAUGUGGAUCUUAAGUUCCACCAUUUCCUAAUUUUGCUCUCCAGUCCGCCUCUAGGUUUCUCGGCAAGGCGACGGUGUGCGAACCAUGUGCGCCUGCCUAGCUGUAUUGCGUCUCGCGGAUGCGGCGGAUGUGGCACAUGAGCAGAUGAAAGAGGAAUAACUGAAGCCCCAAUGCCUCCACACAUUCUUGCUCCCUGACAAUGGGAGUACUAGGUUGCAAACUCCUUUCCCUUCCCUUAUAUUUACAAUAUGAUGAUGACUAUAUGAUGAUAGUGUUGUUAUAAAGGUGAGAUGCCACCACAAUGUUUCAGAGGCUCACAUCUGUCAGUACUCAUUAGAUAGAACUUGUGUUGCAGUUUUUCUUAUGUGCUUCUCUAAAUUCUCUGUUGGCCAUCGUCUAUCUCUCCUGCAUAGCUAGCCCGGUGCCAUGUCAGAAGCUAAACCAAAACUUUUAAGAUGCUUGUGUAGCAAAAUGCGUUUGGAGAUGCUCAUUUAUCUUUCAGUUACUCUGUAUAAAGUGUCAUAUUCUAUUUGGUUUUGGUUACUGGUGAUGUCUAAUUCUCCAUGCUUCUUAACAAUGAUGGCUAUGCCCAACCUGCUCAUAUUAAUCAACAAUAACAGCUCAGUUGUAUCCAGUAUUUCCUAUUCAUUGGUUAUAACAAUUGACUUGUGUGUAGGAUUCGUCCAGUAUAUAUUCUGGGAUAAACAAUGGUUUGGCGAUGCUAUUAGUUCAUGAAAAGUUUGAGGAUUUUUGAUAUUAUUUUAUUGUUAACGAGUCAUGCCAGUAAGCUUUAUGUAUUUGUUCGCCGUGGGGAGCAAUGGGGCAUUGCACACUUACCUAUGUACUCCCUCCGUAAAGAAAUAUAAGAGCAUGUAGAUCACUAAAGUAGUGAUCUAAAUGCUCUUAUAUUUCUUUACAGAGGGUGUAUAUUGCUACCUGGUUAUGUUGGUCUUUCGUAUACAGGCCUUGCUAUCAUUAUGUAUGGUCCUUCUUGCCUAAUGUGUAUUAUGAAUGGUAUUUCAACCUGUGGAAUGUAUUCCUAAUCUUGGUCUAUAGAACUGCCUUUCUGAAUUUGAUGUCUCAGUUGUACUCGAACAAGAGCGCACGGAGGGAGCUCUUCUACGCCACCCCGGCGACAGGAACAAGGAAAAUCCAGUCGAUGGUGCCACCAAUGAACAAGGCACAGAGCAUGAGGUGUUUGCACCAAUUGCUUUCUUCGCACCACGGCCAUGGCUUUGAUCGUCGAUGGACGUCACCAAUCACCUAUUCUAACUCUGGCAAGUACCCGAUGAUAUAUGAUGCCACCGGCUCUUGUGAUGUACCAUGUAAACAACCGUGUGAUCUCCCUCUUCUUUUGUGAACACGGCCUGGCGCGUCUAUCCAUCCUUUUGUACUCAAUAUCUACCUUGUAUGAACAUUGCAUGGAUGGACAUUGCAUCCUUCAAUUUAUCAUGUAUGAACAUUUGCAUCCUUUAUAAUGUGUUUACUAUC